Molecule: ribosomal RNA, 483 nt
Filed under: uncultured bacterium
Lineage: Bacteria
Description: partial 16S ribosomal RNA
Rfam family: Bacterial small subunit ribosomal RNA
Source: RNAcentral
AUUGAACGCUGGCGGCAGGCCUAACACAUGCAAGUCGAGCGGAUGAAGGGAGCUUGCUCCUGGAUUCAGCGGCGGACGGGUGAGUAAUGCCUAGGAAUCUGCCUGGUAGUGGGGGAUAACGUCCGGAAACGGGCGCUAAUACCGCAUACGUCCUGAGGGAGAAAGUGGGGGAUCUUCGGACCUCACGCUAUCAGAUGAGCCUAGGUCGGAUUAGCUAGUUGGUGGGUAAAGGCCCACCAAGGCGAAGAUCCGGAACUGGUCUGAGAGGAUGAUCAGUCACACUGGAACUGAGACACGGUCCAGACUCCUACGGGAGGCAGCAGUGGGGAAUAUUGGACAAUGGGCGAAAGCCUGAUCCAGCCAUGCCGCGUGUGUGAAGAAGGUCUUCGGAUUGUAAAGCACUUUAAGUUGGGAGGAAGGGCAGUAAGUUAAUACCUUGCUGUUUUGACGUUACCAACAGAAUAAGCACCGGCUAACUUCGUG